Molecule: ribosomal RNA, 392 nt
Filed under: uncultured bacterium
Lineage: Bacteria
Description: partial 16S ribosomal RNA
Rfam family: Bacterial small subunit ribosomal RNA
Source: RNAcentral
AUACGGAGGAUCCGAGCGUUAUCCGGAUUUAUUGGGUUUAAAGGGUGCGCAGGCGGCCAUUUAAGUCAGCGGUUAAAUCGUGGGGCUCAACCCCAUUCUGCCGUUGAUACUGGGUGGCUUGGUUGCGGUCGAGGUUGGCGGAAUUCGUUGUGUAGCGGUGAAAUGCAUAGAUAUGACGAAGAACACCGAUUGCGUAGGCAGCUGACCAGACCGCAAAUGACGCUCAUGCACGAAAGUGCGGGGAUCGAACAGGAUUAGAUACCCUGGUAGUCCGCACAGUAAACGAUGAAUACUUGUUUUCGGCGAUAUAAUGUCGGAGGCAAAGCGAAAGCGAUAAGUAUUCCACCUGGGGAGUACGCCGGCAACGGUGAAACUCAAAUGAAUUGGCGGGG